RNAcentral lists this ribosomal RNA (434 nucleotides) under uncultured bacterium. Its description in RNAcentral is "partial 16S ribosomal RNA". It matches the Rfam family "Bacterial small subunit ribosomal RNA", at positions 29 to 507 of the family's 1533-position model. The record is from RNAcentral.
AGCGAACGCUGGCGGCAGGCCUAACACAUGCAAGUCGAACGAACCUUUCGGGGUUAGUGGCGGACGGGUGAGUAACACGUGGGAACGUGCCUUUAGGUUCGGAAUAACUCAGGGAAACUUGUGCUAAUACCGAAUGUUCCCUUCGGGGGAAAGAUUUAUCGCCUUUAGAUCGGCCCGCGUCUGAUUAGCUAGUUGGUUGAGGUAAUGGCUCACCAAGGCGACGAUCAGUAGCUGGUCUGAGAGGAUGAUCAGCCACAUUGGGACUGAGACACGGCCCAAACUCCUACGGGAGGCAGCAGUGGGGAAUCUUGCGCAAUGGGCGAAAGCCUGACGCAGCCAUGCCGCGUGAAUGAUGAAGGUCUUAGGAUUGUAAAAUUCUUUCACCGGGGACGAUAAUGACGGUACCCGGAGAAGAAGCCCCGGCUAACUUCGUG